CAGCAAGACAACACGUGGGUCGCGCAGGCAAUUGGAAUUUUUGGGGCAGAUUUCUGUAAAGAAAUACCUGUAUUUGUCCCCCCUUUGCUGAGUCGUUUGAAGCGCGAGUAGGGCUGGAAUUUCAGGAAUUAGCUGUGGUAUGACAUGAAGCCUGGAAGGCAGAGAAAAAGACGAGAGGGAAGCAGGAGGCUGGACCGACCGGUCAACACGUAAUGAGGAGAGGGGAGGGCCGGGGUCCGAAAAGGAAAAGAAAGCCAGCCUCGGGCACAUAAUCCUGCUGAAAGAGGCCAAUGCCAUCAGGGAAUACCGUUGCCAUGAAAGGGUGCACAUGGUCUGCAAUAAUGCUCAGUGCAUCCUGAUGUCAUGUGUUCUCCAGUGGUCACGGGGGUCAGCUGUUGGCAGUGGUCACUGUUGGAUCGGAC
Esox lucius (northern pike) is the source of this 422-nucleotide long non-coding RNA. Lineage: Eukaryota; Metazoa; Chordata; Actinopteri; Esociformes; Esocidae. The record is from Ensembl.